UCUUUAUAGAGUUGAUAGGGCUUUACAUGAGUUCCUGCAUGUAAAGUGCUUAGGCAGGGACCUCGUACUGUCUAGGAAAUCCUCUAAGUGUAUGCUGUUGUCGUUGGCAUGUUUGUGUCUGUGCCUUACCUCCUCACUAGGCCUGCAGCUCCUUGAGGAGAGGGUCUGUCUCUUUAAGCCAAUUUGUGUCCCCGCAGGGUCCCAGCACAGGGCCUGGCCACAGUGGGUCCUCACUGACUGUUUGUGGAGUGAUGAUGGGGUCCGGGUGCCCUCUCCCCUGGCCUGCUGUCUCCCGCGGGCCCCUGCAGAGCAAUGCUGUCUCCGUGGCUGAGGCCCUUCCUCCCACAGCCCCGCCUGAGCUCCUUCAAUUUUCCCUGGCAGCUCCCACGUUCUGGACUAACUUUAGGGUUUCCCCCAGCAAGGAGGACAACAUGGGUCUAAAUCUAUCACUGACAUCUCUGCUUAUUAGCUGAUCCUUGCCACCUGGCUAACUCCGACCACAGCAAAACUGAGAGUUCCGAGGGCUUCUCAGAGGGUAUGAGAAUGGGGGUUGUACUUCCUAAUACUACUUUUGCUUAUGCUGAAUGUGAAACUUUCCAAA
RNAcentral lists this long non-coding RNA (601 nucleotides) under Equus caballus (horse). Its description in RNAcentral is "lncRNA (ENSECAG00000051302.1)". The record is from RNAcentral. Lineage: Eukaryota; Metazoa; Chordata; Mammalia; Perissodactyla; Equidae.